Molecule: ribosomal RNA, 472 nt
Filed under: uncultured bacterium
Lineage: Bacteria
Description: bacterial SSU rRNA
Rfam family: Bacterial small subunit ribosomal RNA
Source: RNAcentral
UGGCUCAGAACGAACGCUGGCGGCAGGUCUUAGGCAUGCAAGUCGAACGGAUGACAAGAGAGCUUGCUCUCUGAAGUCAGUGGCGCACGAGUGAGUAACGCGUGGGAAACUGCCCUUCACUGGGGAAUAACGUUUGGAAACGAACGCUAAUACCGCGAUACGCCCGGCAAGGGGAAAGAUUUAUCGGUGAUGGAUGUGCCCGCGUUGGAUUAGCCAGUUGGUGGGGUAAUGGCCUACCAAAGCAAUGAUCCAUAGCUGGUCUGAGAGGACGAUCAGCCACGCUGGAACUGAGACACGGUCCAGGCUCCUACGGGAGGCAGGCAGCUAAGAAGUAUUGGGCAAUGGAGGAAACUCUGACCCAGCCCAUGCCGCGUGAAUGAAGAAGGCCUUCGGGUUGUAAAGUUCUUUUAGUCAUGAAGAUGAUGACAGUAGUGACAGAAAAAGCACCGGCUAACUUCGUGCCAGCCGCCGC